This is a long non-coding RNA of Dendronephthya gigantea, 366 nucleotides long. RefSeq lists it as uncharacterized. Lineage: Eukaryota; Metazoa; Cnidaria; Anthozoa; Malacalcyonacea; Nephtheidae. The transcript has 3 exons. The record is from RefSeq and is a predicted model, not a curated record.
CUCAGGACAACGGCCUUGGUGUUUUACUACAGAUAGGAACAAAAGAUGGGAGUACUGUGAGAUUCCUAAAUGUACACCAGUUGACGGUAAUUAUGGGAAUUGGUCAUUAAAAGAUAAGUGUAAUGUGAGUUGCGGCGAAGGUUUUGAAACAUGGCAACGAGAUUGUGACAAACCUAAGCCAAAGUUUGGCGGAAAAUAUUGCAGUGAAAUCGGAGAGUCAGUUGAAUACAGAUCCUGUUUGGCUGAACCCUGUCCAGUAAACGGUGGUUAUGGCAACUGGAGUGUUAGAAUUCCUUGCAAUGUUUCGUGCGGUGAAGGAGUGGAGAUAUGGCGACGUAAUUGUGAUAAUCCUAAACCCAAAUACGG